This 200-nucleotide ribosomal RNA is filed under the name uncultured bacterium. RNAcentral's name for it is "partial 16S ribosomal RNA". It matches the Rfam family "Bacterial small subunit ribosomal RNA", at positions 8 to 216 of the family's 1533-position model. The record is from RNAcentral.
AGAGUUUGAUCCUGGCUCAGAACUAACGCUGGCGGCGUGCCUAACACAUGCAAGUCGAGCGGAACUCUUCGGAGUUCAGCGGCGGACGGGUGAGUAACACGUGGGUAACCUGCCUGACAGAUCGGGAUAACGCUUGGAAACGAGUGCUAAUACCAGAUAGGCUGCUUGGUCGCAUGACCGAGCAGGGAAAGAGGCUUUCG